RNAcentral lists this ribosomal RNA (491 nucleotides) under uncultured bacterium. RNAcentral describes it as "partial 16S ribosomal RNA". It matches the Rfam family "Bacterial small subunit ribosomal RNA", at positions 29 to 506 of the family's 1533-position model. The record is from RNAcentral.
AGUGAACGCUGGCGGUAGGCCUAACACAUGCAAGUCGAACGGCAGCACAGUAAGAGCUUGCUCUUACGGGUGGCGAGUGGCGGACGGGUGAGGAAUACAUCGGAAUCUACUUUUUCGUGGGGGAUAACGUAGGGAAACUUACGCUAAUACCGCAUACGACCUACGGGUGAAAGCAGGGGAUCUUCGGACCUUGCGCGAUUGAAUGAGCCGAUGUCGGAUUAGCUAGUUGGCGGGGUAAAGGCCCACCAAGGCGACGAUCCGUAGCUGGUCUGAGAGGAUGAUCAGCCACACUGGAACUGAGACACGGUCCAGACUCCUACGGGAGGCAGCAGUGGGGAAUAUGGGACAAUGGGCGCAAGCCUGAUCCAGCCAUACCGCGGGGGUGAAGAAGGCCUUCGGGUUGUAAAGCCCUUUUGUUGGGAAAGAAAAGCAGCAGGUUAAUACCCCGCUGUUCUGACGGUACCCAAAGAAUAAGCACCGGCUAACUUCGG